RNAcentral lists this ribosomal RNA (263 nucleotides) under uncultured Staphylococcus sp. RNAcentral describes it as "partial 16S ribosomal RNA". It matches the Rfam family "Bacterial small subunit ribosomal RNA", at positions 99 to 355 of the family's 1533-position model. Lineage: Bacteria; Bacillati; Bacillota; Bacilli; Caryophanales; Staphylococcaceae. The record is from RNAcentral.
CGGACGGGUGAGUAACACGUGGAUAACCUACCUAUAAGACUGGGAUAACUUCGGGAAACCGGAGCUAAUACCGGAUAAUAUAUUGAACCGCAUGGUUCAAUAGUGAAAGACGGUUUUGCUGUCACUUAUAGAUGGAUCCGCGCCGCAUUAGCUAGUUGGUAAGGUAACGGCUUACCAAGUCAACGAUGCGUAGCCGACCUGAGAGGGUGAUCGGCCACACUGGAACUGAGACACGGUCCAGACUCCUACGGGAGGCAGCAGCA